AAUUCAUUGAAAGGUUUUAUAGAUCUGGAAGUAGCACAUAGCAUUAUCUGUUUACAUUCUUUGUGAGAGACCUGGUUAAGCCUAAUCGCUAGAAAAGCUGGGAAAGGGCACCUAGAUGGGUCCCAAAAUAGAGAACAGAUUUUGAUGAACAAAAUUGUUCUUUUUGCACAGGUGUCUCCCUUUCCAUUUUGAGAUAGCAUGAGAAACUCCCCAAAAGCUGUCAGAUGCAGCUGCCCAAUUUUUAACUUUCU
Molecule: long non-coding RNA, 251 nt
Filed under: Pan troglodytes (chimpanzee)
Lineage: Eukaryota; Metazoa; Chordata; Mammalia; Primates; Hominidae
Description: long non-coding RNA NONPTRT007528
Source: RNAcentral